Molecule: ribosomal RNA, 921 nt
Filed under: bacterium SCS_04Z1_42_2
Lineage: Bacteria
Description: bacterial SSU rRNA
Rfam family: Bacterial small subunit ribosomal RNA
Source: RNAcentral
GUCCCUCGCUUCGUUGCAUGCAGUCGAGCGCACCAUAUCGGGUGAGCGGCGGACGGGUUAGUAACGCGUGGGAACGUACCCAGAUCUAAGGAAUAGCCACUGGAAACGGUGAGUAAUACCUUAUACGCCCUUCGGGGGAAAGAUUUAUCGGAUUUGGAUCGGCCCGCGUUAGAUUAGGUAGUUGGUGGGGUAAUGGCCUACCAAGCCUACGAUCUAUAGCUGGUUUUAGAGGAUGAUCAGCAACACUGGGACUGAGACACGGCCCAGACUCCUACGGGAGGCAGCAGUGGGGAAUCUUAAACAAUGGGGGCAACCCUGAUCUAGCCAUGCCGCGUGAGUGAAGAAGGUCUUAGGAUCGUAAAGCUCUUUCGCCAGGGAUGAUAAUGACAGUACCUGGUAAAGAAACCCCGGCUAACUCCGUGCCAGCAGCCGCGGUAAUACGGAGGGGGUUAGCGGUGUUCGGAAUUACUGGGCGUAAAGCGCGCGUAGGCGGAUCAGAAAGUUGGGGGUGAAAUCCCAGGGCUCAACCCUGGAACUGCCUCCAAAACUCCUGGUCUUGAGUUCGAGAGAGGUGAGUGGAACUCCGAGUGUAGAGGUGAAAUUCGUAGAUAUUCGGAAGAACACCAGUGGGCGAAGAGCGGCUCACUGGCUCGAUACUGACGCUGAGGUGCGAAAGUGUGGGGAGCAAACAGGAUUAAUACCCUGGUAGUCCACACCGUAAACAAUGAAUGCCACUCUCGGGUAGUAUACUAUUUCUGUGACACACCUAACGGAUUAACAAUCCCCCUGGGGAGUACGGUCGCAAGAAUAAAAACUCAAAGAAUUGACGGGGCCCGCACACCGAUGGAGCAUGUGGUUUAUUCGGAGCACGCCCGAGACCAUUACCACCCUUGACUCCUGUUGCGGAUCCGGAAAAAACUG